AAGUCGUAACAAGGUCUCCGUAGGGGAACCUGCGGAGGGAUCAUUUCUGUGAAUUUGUCUGGGUUUUGGAUGGAGGAAGAGGGGGGUGUGUUUGCUUUAACCAUUGGCUUAGCAAUAAGAAAAUGGAGCGAGUGGCAUGUCUUUUUUUUCUUUAUCCCUUACCUAUUCAAAACAAAGUUGGAUGUGCUCAUUUCUUAUAAAAUGGGGGGGGAUUCUUGGUGGGGGUGGAAACACCCUUUGCUAUAAACCCCCCUGUUUUCUAACUAUAAAACUGUCAUGAAGGUAUCCUUAACUGAAUCCACAACAAGAAAUUCAAACUUGACAACUAUCAACGGCGGAUCUCUUGGUUCGU
This 352-nucleotide unclassified non-coding RNA is filed under the name fungal sp. RNAcentral's name for it is "partial internal transcribed spacer region". The stretch from base 1 to 46 matches the Rfam family "Eukaryotic small subunit ribosomal RNA", at positions 1786 to 1831 of the family's 1831-position model. The record is from RNAcentral. Lineage: Eukaryota; Fungi.